UAGAAAGUAGAAAGUAGAAAGUAGAAAGUAGAAAGUAGAAACUGCGCAGCGCAGAAACGUAAUAAAGUAGGAAACAUGAAACAAAAGCCGUAGUCGGAUAUUGGUGAGGAAGAGGAGGCAGCGACAGCUACGACUUUGUCGGACCCUUUGUUAGCUGCAGCCCCCCCCCCGCAGAAAGCAGAACAGGAAGAUAGUAGAGAUAGGUAGUGGUCAUCUUUCAGUCUCAAUUGGUUGGUCCGUCUAAAGGGAUCCAAUGGCUGAGGAGCAAAUAAAUUUUGAAGUGGAGGAAUAUGGAGGUGCUCAGAAGCUCCAAUAUCAGGGAAGUGGAGCCAUAUCUGCUCUUGCAGAUGAAGAACCGAUGGUCGAAGAUGAUGAGUACGACGAUCUAUAUGAUGAUGUUAAUGUUGGAGAGGGUUUCCUGCAGAUGCAUCGAUCUGAGGCACCACUCCCUGCUGCUGGUGUUGGGAAUGGAGGACUCCAAGCUCAGAAAACUGAUGUUCCCGAACUAAGAGUUCAAGCCGGUGCUUCUCAGGAAAUGAAAAUUCCGGGGGUUUCAGUUGGAGGAAAUUAUUCUAGUGUUCCUGAACAGAAGGUUCAGCCACCAGUCGCUAACGUGCCUGAAACUCAAGUCAGGCAUAUGGGGUUUCAGGGGUCAACAACUACGCCCUCCAAUGUUGGUGCUGAUUCUUUGGAAAUUACUGCAAAAUUUGCUAACGAGCCUCUUCCAUCAAUGAAUUCUGGCACCACUGGUCCUUCAGCUGUUACACAGAUGCCUGCUAAUCAAAUGAAUAUGAAGGUCAAUCUUAAUCGUCCAAUGGUUAAUGAAAACCAAAUCCGUCCUCCAAUUGAGAAUGGUUCGGCCACGUUGUUUGUGGGAGAUUUACAUUGGUGGACAACUGAUGCUGAACUGGAAGGUGUUUUAUCUCAGUUUGGGAGGGUGAAGGAAAUUAAGUUUUUUGAUGAAAGAGCCAGUGGUAAAUCCAAAGGUUAUUGUCAGGUAGAUUUUUAUGAUCCCGCGGCUGCCAGUGCAUGCAAAGAGGGAAUGGAUGGUUAUGUUUUCAAUGGGAGAGCUUGUGUUGUGGCCUUUGCUACUUCACAAACUUUAAAGCAGAUGGGAGCUAAUUAUGUGAACAAAUCCCAAGGGCAGGUUCAGACUCAGCCCCAAGGGAGAAGGCCCAUGAAUGAUGGUGCUGGGAGAGGGGGAGGCAUGAAUUUUCAAGGUGGAGACACGGGGAGAAAUUUUGGGAGGGGUAAUUGGGGGCGAGGUGGACAGGGAGUACCCAACAGAGGUCCUGGUGGACCAGGCCGGGGAAGAGGAGGGGCCAUGGGUGCAAAGAACAUGGUUGGGAAUAAUGCUGGGGUUGGAGCUGGUGCUAAUGGAGGAGGCUAUGGACAGGGCCUUGCAGGUCCUGGAUUUGGCGGUCCUGUGGGAGGUAUGAUGAAUGCACCUGGUAUGAUGGGUCCUGGGUUUGAUCCAACAUAUAUGGGUCGAGGAGGUGGUUACGGAGGGUUCCCUGGUCCUGGUUUUCCUGGAAUGCUUCCUCAAUUUCCUGGUGUUAAUGCAAUGGGACUUGCUGGGGUUGCUCCUCAUGUAAACCCAGCUUUCUUUGGCAGGGGAAUGGCAACGAAUGGGAUGGGGAUGAUGGGUUCUUCUGGAAUGGAGGGGCAUCAUGCCCCUAUGUGGAAUGAUCCAAGUAUGGGUGGGUGGGGAGGAGAAGAACAGGAUCGAAGAACUAGGGAGUCAAGCUAUGGGGGUGAUGAUGGUGCUUCUGAGUAUGGAAACUAUGUAGAGGCAAAUCAUGAGAAAUCAGCUAAGUCAAGUGCUGCCUCAAGGGAAAGAGAACGGGGAUCUGAGCGUGAGUGGACAGGAACCUCUGAGAGGAGGCAUCGUGAUGAGAGAGAACAAGACUUGGACAGGUCUGAAAGGGAGCACCGGGAGCCCAGGUAUAAAGAAGAAAAAGAUAGUUACAGAGAUCAUCGUCGAAGAGAGCGUGAUGUGGGUUAUGAUGAUGACUGGGACAGAGGACAAUCUUCUUCAAGACCUCGCAGUAGGUCCAAAGCAAUGCCGGAAGAUGAUCAUCGUUCUCGAUCAAGGGAUGUGGAUUAUGGGAAGAGGAGACGAUUGCCAUCUGAGUGACAUGAGUAAAUGAUUUUUCUUUCUUUGGCAUGUCGUUUAGACUGCAGCAUAUGGCUUCUUAACGGUAGUGGUAUCUUGCCUUGAAUAGCUACUGUGCAGCUGCAUCUUCAUCCAUGUUUCGAUGGCCCCACCUGCAAACGUGCUUCUUGAUGAAGAAGGAGUAGAGUGGGAAACUCUUUCUUUUCAUGCUUGAAUCAGCCUGUGCUGGUCACAUCGUGGAAUGUGUGUUACAAGGAUGUGUUGCCAAGUCUUAAAAAGAAAUCUAUUUUGGUUUUCACCUUAUUUUCUUGAAGCACCACCUAAUAUUUGUAUUACGACUGCUCGUGCAACUAGAAAGAGAGUUCUCAAAGUAGUGAAGUAUUAGAUGGACUUAUCAGUGUGCAUGUAGCUGAAUGUCUUUGUGUAACUAUGGACUUCUGUAUUAGGUACACAUGUAAUACCCUAUCAAUUUCUUGACCAUAUUAGGCUUACCUGUGAGCUUGUAAAAGUCUUGUACUGAAGCUAUGUGCUUAGUUUUCCAUAUUCGGUGUUGUAAUACAUGAUGACUGGCCUGUGCAUUAGGGAGUCAGGAUUCAGCCAAAUACAGUGUACUGAGAAGCCAUCAUGAUAGACUGUAAUUAGUCACGAUGAAGGUUCUACAAACCCAGUUUCUGUUGAAGCGAUUUCCUGUAAAAAGAUUCUUUUAUUUCAUAAUGCAUAUUGUGAUGUGUACUGGGUUUAAGGGUUAGGAGUUGUGAACCAAUGGUUCCUUGUAAAUGAGUUGGGGCCGAAAUGAUUGUUUAGGCACUGUUUCUCUCUUAGUGGAGGCCCAUGUUGUGCUCCUUACGUAUAUUUUCCAGUUGGACAUAGCUUUGUACUUUCUUCAUGGAUCAAUCAAUGUUCUCUGUUCCUUCUUUUUCAUUGGAACAGACUGUAUUGUUUCUCAAUAUUAUAUAAAAGAAAUUUGGUGGUGCA
RNA transcript from Rosa rugosa (rugosa rose), 3091 nucleotides. RefSeq lists it as uncharacterized. The transcript is spliced from 3 exons. NCBI's taxonomy places the organism in Eukaryota, Viridiplantae, Streptophyta, Magnoliopsida, Rosales, Rosaceae. The record is from RefSeq and is a predicted model, not a curated record.